GACCAAACUAAUGAAAUCACAAUCAAUUCAACUAAGCAGUUACACAAAGAAUCCAAAAGAAAGAAAGUCCAAGGAUUACGCUAUGAGACAAGAAGCAAGAACCUAGGGUAAUUAAUGUCUACGGUACAGGUUGAGUAAAUAACGGGCAGUGGAACUCGAUUAUUCAAUA
Mastomys coucha (southern multimammate mouse) is the source of this 169-nucleotide long non-coding RNA. RefSeq lists it as uncharacterized. NCBI's taxonomy places the organism in Eukaryota, Metazoa, Chordata, Mammalia, Rodentia, Muridae. The record is from RefSeq and is a predicted model, not a curated record. The transcript has 2 exons.